This is a non-coding RNA of Vicia faba (fava bean), 207 nucleotides long. The record is from the annotation of a GenBank genome assembly. NCBI's taxonomy places the organism in Eukaryota, Viridiplantae, Streptophyta, Magnoliopsida, Fabales, Fabaceae.
AUGCAGAGUCAAUUGUUGGGUACAUGGCUGCAUCUCCAUAUGCUUGCAUUUCUCGAUUUUUCCCUUCUCAAGUCUGAAUUCUGUCAUGGACCGGUUUAUUAUCGAGGCAUUAACUCAAUUUCUGUUAUUUGUGCAGGAUUGGCGAUUUUGACAAGCUUUUGGUUAAGGUAUUACCGUUCUGGUUAUGUUUGGCAUAAGUUUUGGUGA